Long non-coding RNA from Lagenorhynchus albirostris (white-beaked dolphin), 1204 nucleotides. RefSeq lists it as uncharacterized. The transcript is spliced from 5 exons. The record is from RefSeq and is a predicted model, not a curated record. Lineage: Eukaryota; Metazoa; Chordata; Mammalia; Artiodactyla; Delphinidae.
ACCGCGGCGACUGGGCGGCGGGUGCCAUGCGCCUGGAGCUUCAUAGUCUCAGCUCCCGCCCACCGCACCCGCCCGCCUCCGCGGUCACGCCCCAGACCUCCGACACCUGUCAAGCAGGCAAAGAGGGACACAGCAGACUCCUGCCCUGAAACACUGUGUGUCCCAACCCAGGCGGAAUUGAUGGCAGCACAGAUGAAAAAAUGCCAGAAAACCUCAGAGCAGACUGGCCUCAACCACAGCAAACAGCUCUCAACAGCCUGCCCCCAGCUCACCCUUCCUUUUCAUUAAAAAAUAAACACAGAACCUGAGAUUUGGUGGCAGCAGUGGGAUCUGAAGUGAACUUCUGAUGGCUUCAAGACAACAAGAAACACAGGCAUGGUAUUCCACAAACCCACUGAGUUCUCUGUCUUCCUGCCAUUUCCGAAGGCCAUGGAGAUUGCUCGCAAGCAGACCUGAGUUGGGAGUGCAACCUGAGCGGAUUCUCCAGAGGUAAUAAACAUCUAGAAUAGGCCUCCCUGCCACUAGCCCAUGCCCAUUCCAUUCAGUUGUUAAGGAUGCUGAAGGUCUCUUAGAACAGUGGUUCUCAAAAUGUGGUCUCCAAAUGGCAGCAUAAUUAUCAUCUGGGAACUUGUUAGAAAUGCAAAUUCUCAGGCUACACCCCAGGCCUACUGAAUCACAAAUUCUGUGGGCGUGACCCAGUGGAUAUGGUUUAACAAGCCCUCCAGCUGAUUCCGAUAUAUGUUUCAUAUUUAGAACCACAGUCCUAGGCCAAUGGACUCACCUGGGAAACAUUAAAAAUACCAAUGCCUGAGUCUUACCUCACCCCAGAGAUUCUGAUUUAAUUGGUUUGGGAUGUAGCCUGGGCAUGAGUUUUUCAAUGCUCCCCAGGUGAUUGAAACCACUGUGACCUAGACCUUUGGAAGCAGUCCCCUGCAUCUGGGAAUGGCUAAUGGCACAGUUAGAGCAUAAAAUCAAGCUGCAGAGACUAAUAAAUAUGUAGGAGCAUCACAACUUCCCAAUUUUAAGUCCUGUCCCCUUCCCCAAACCCUGCACCUAACGCAGGAGGCAGAGCCAUGGGUGGGCAAUGCGCUUUGGCUGAGCAGGUAUGAACUUAUUAUUUUGAGCCCUUUAGUAGUGUUACUUACUUUUUUUUUUUUUUUGGUACGCGGGCCUCUCACUGUUGUGGCCUCUUCCGCUGCGGAGC